CCUUCGGGGUUAGUGGCGCACGGGUGCGUAACGCGUGGGAACCUGCCUUUAGGUUCGGAAUAACUCAGAGAAAUUUGAGCUAAUACCGGAUAAUGUCUUCGGACCAAAGAUUUAUCGCCUUUAGAUGGGCCCGCGUUAGAUUAGAUAGUUGGUGGGGUAAUGGCCUACCAAGUCGACGAUCUAUAGCUGGUCUGAGAGGAUGAUCAGCCACACUGGGACUGAGACACGGCCCAGACUCCUACGGGAGGCAGCAGUGGGGAAUAUUGGACAAUGGGCGAAAGCCUGAUCCAGCAAUGCCGCGUGAGUGAUGAAGGCCUUAGGGUUGUAAAGCUCUUUUACCAGGGAUGAUAAUGACAGUACCUGGAGAAUAAGCUCCGGCUAACUCCGUGCCAGCAGCCGCGGUAAUACGGAGGGAGCUAGCGUUGUUCGGAAUUACUGGGCGUAAAGCGCGCGUAGGCGGCUUUUCAAGUCAGGGGUGAAAUCCCGGGGCUCAACCCCGGAACUGCCCUU
RNAcentral lists this ribosomal RNA (510 nucleotides) under marine sediment bacterium BB0608_2216_4.1_6S0. RNAcentral describes it as "bacterial SSU rRNA". It matches the Rfam family "Bacterial small subunit ribosomal RNA", at positions 83 to 628 of the family's 1533-position model. The record is from RNAcentral.